UACGUAGGGGGCAAGCGUUGUCCGGAAUCAUUGGGCGUAAAGCGCGUGUAGGCGGUUCGAUAAGUCUGCUGUGAAAGUCCAGGGCUCAACCCUGGGAUGCCGGUGGAUACUGUCGAGCUAGAGUACGGAAGAGGCGAGUGGAAUUCCUGGUGUAGCGGUGAAAUGCGCAGAUAUCGGGAAGAACACCCGUGGCGAAGGCGGCUCUCUGGGACGGUACUGACGCUGAGACGCGAAAGCGUGGGGAGCGAACAGG
Molecule: ribosomal RNA, 253 nt
Filed under: uncultured bacterium
Lineage: Bacteria
Description: partial 16S ribosomal RNA
Rfam family: Bacterial small subunit ribosomal RNA
Source: RNAcentral